Molecule: non-coding RNA, 28 nt
Filed under: Mus musculus (house mouse)
Lineage: Eukaryota; Metazoa; Chordata; Mammalia; Rodentia; Muridae
Source: RNAcentral
UCCUACCAUCCUAGAAGGACAACAGUGC